Molecule: unclassified non-coding RNA, 253 nt
Filed under: uncultured Pseudomonadaceae bacterium
Lineage: Bacteria; Pseudomonadati; Pseudomonadota; Gammaproteobacteria; Pseudomonadales; Pseudomonadaceae
Description: contains 16S-23S intergenic spacer region
Rfam family: Bacterial small subunit ribosomal RNA
Source: RNAcentral
UACAGAGGGUGCAAGCGUUAAUCGGAAUUACUGGGCGUAAAGCGCGCAUAGGUGGUUUGGCAAGUUGGAUGUGAAAGCCCUGGGCUCAACCUGGGAACUGCAUCCAAAACUGCCAGGCUAGAGUACGGUAGAGGGUGGUGGAAUUUCCUGUGUAGCGGUGAAAUGCGUAGAUAUAGGAAGGAACACCAGUGGCGAAGGCGCCCACCUGGACUGAUACUGACACUGAGGUUCGAAAGCGUGGGGAGCAAACAGG